RNAcentral lists this long non-coding RNA (210 nucleotides) under Fukomys damarensis (Damara mole-rat). Its description in RNAcentral is "lncRNA (ENSFDAG00000022185.1)". Lineage: Eukaryota; Metazoa; Chordata; Mammalia; Rodentia; Bathyergidae. The record is from RNAcentral.
CGCAAGUUUGAGUCCAGCCUGAGCAACUUAGCAAGAACUCUGCCUCAAAGUAAGACUAAAGGACUGGAAAUGAGCUCAGCACUCUAAUCUUCAGUACUACAAAAACAGAAGAAAAUAUAAUCUCCCUCAUCCACAGGCAACAUAGUAUUCAACUGGAAAUACAGAGGGAUGCCAGUGCAGAUGUCUGGAGAACCUUCUAAGUUCACCCCA